This 460-nucleotide ribosomal RNA is filed under the name uncultured bacterium. RNAcentral describes it as "partial 16S ribosomal RNA". It matches the Rfam family "Bacterial small subunit ribosomal RNA", at positions 338 to 795 of the family's 1533-position model. The record is from RNAcentral.
CCUACGGGAGGCAGCAGUGAGGAAUAUUGGUCAAUGGACGAGAGUCUGAACCAGCCAAGUAGCGUGAAGGAUGACUGCCCUGUGGGUUGUAGACUUCUUUUAUAUGGGGAUAAAACGUUCCACGUGUGGGGUUUUGUAUGUACCCUAUGAAUAAGGAUCGGCUAACUCCGUGCCAGCAGCCGCGGUAAUACGGAGGAUCCGAGCGUUAUCCGGAUUUAUUGGGUUUAAAGGGAGCGUAGGUGGAUUGUUAAGUCAGUUGUGAAAGUUUGCGGCUCAACCGUAAAAGUGCAGUUGAAACUGGCAGUCUUGAGUACAGUAGAGGUGGGCGGAAUGCGUGGUGUAGCGGUGAAAUGCUUAGAUAUCACGAAGAACUCCGAUUGCGAAGGCAGUUCACUGGACUGCCACUGACACUGAGGCACGAAAGUGUGGGUAUCAAACAGGAUUAGAUACCCUUGUAGUC